RNAcentral lists this ribosomal RNA (407 nucleotides) under uncultured Chloroflexota bacterium. RNAcentral's name for it is "bacterial SSU rRNA". It matches the Rfam family "Bacterial small subunit ribosomal RNA", at positions 355 to 776 of the family's 1533-position model. The record is from RNAcentral. Lineage: Bacteria; Bacillati; Chloroflexota.
CGAGGAAUCUUGCGCAAUGGGCGAAAGCCUGACGCAGCAACGCCGCGUGGGUGAAGAAGGCCUUCGGGUUGUAAAUCCCUUUUGCCGGGGAAGAAGUUUCUGACGGUACCCGGCGAAUAAGCCACGGCUAACUACGUGCCAGCAGCCGCGGUAAGACGUAGGUGGCGAGCGUUAUCCGGAUUUACUGGGCGUAAAGCGUACGUAGGCGGCGCGAUCAGUCUGCCGUGAAAUCUCCCGGCUCAACCGGGAGGGGCCGGUGGAAACUGUCGUGCUCGAGGGGCGUAGAGGCAAGCGGAAUUCCCGGAGUAGUGGUGGAAUGCGUAGAUACCGGGAGGAACACCAGUGGCGAAAGCGGCUUGCCAGGCGCAUCCUGACGCUGAGGUACGAAAGCGUGGGGAGCGAACCGG